CGGGGGGGCAAGCGUUGUUCGGAGUUACUGGGCGUAAAGGGCUCGUAGGUGGCCAACUAAGUCAGACGUGAAAUCCCUCGGCUUAACCGGGGAACUGCGUCUGAUACUGGAUGGCUUGAGUUUGGGAGAGGGACGCGGAAUUCCAGGUGUAGCGGUGAAAUGCGUAGAUAUCUGGAGGAACACCGGUGGCGAAGGCGGCGUCCUGGACCAAUACUGACACUGAGGAGCGAAAGCCAGGGGAGCAAACGGGAUUAGAUACCCCGGUAGUCCUGGCCCUAAACGAUGAAUGCUUGGUGUGGCGGGUAUCGAUCCCUGCCGUGCCGAAGCUAACGCAUUAAGCAUUCCGCCUGGGGAGUACGGUCGCAAGGCUG
Molecule: ribosomal RNA, 371 nt
Filed under: uncultured organism
Description: bacterial SSU rRNA
Rfam family: Bacterial small subunit ribosomal RNA
Source: RNAcentral